CGCGCAGGCGGUCGUUCAAGUCGAGUGUGAAAGCCCCCGGCUCAACUGGGGAGGGUCACUCGAUACUGAUCGACUUGAAGGCAGGAGAGGGAAGCGGAAUUCCCGGUGUAGUGGUGAAAUGCGUAGAUAUCGGGAGGAACACCAGUGGCGAAGGCGGCUUCCUGGCCUGUUCUUGACGCUGAGGCGCGAAAGCUAGGGGAGCAAACG
This 207-nucleotide ribosomal RNA is filed under the name uncultured bacterium. RNAcentral's name for it is "partial 16S ribosomal RNA". It matches the Rfam family "Bacterial small subunit ribosomal RNA", at positions 568 to 774 of the family's 1533-position model. The record is from RNAcentral.